This 455-nucleotide long non-coding RNA is filed under the name Musa acuminata (dwarf banana). RNAcentral describes it as "long non-coding RNA (MACU_LNC002682)". Lineage: Eukaryota; Viridiplantae; Streptophyta; Magnoliopsida; Zingiberales; Musaceae. The record is from RNAcentral.
AAACUUGGCCCAAACCAGUCCGAACUUGGGCCUAAUUGGCCCCUACUUGGGUUAUAGGAUUAACACCUAAUCCUAACCCUAAUUAAUGUGCUAACAAUGAUUUUAAAGACAUUUUCUAAGCUAUUACAAAGUCCGCAAGUCAAGACUUCUUCUGGCGAGCUUUCGGCAAACUUCCGGCGGUCUUCCGAUGAACUCUCGGAAACCAUUCUGCGGACUCCCGGCAAGCUCCUAGACUUCACGAUUUAUUCUUAGCGAGUUCCAACGAGCUUCUUCGGCAAGCUCCGAUCUUUCUCGGCGAGCUCCGCGAACUCCCAACGAACCUUCCAGCGAGCUUUCGAAAAACCCUUCGGCAAGCUCCCAACUCAUUCUCGGCUAGUUCCGGUAGCAUUCCCGACGAACCUUUGGACUUCCGUCGAACUCUCGAACUCGCAACAAAUCCUUCGCGCUUGACUCCG